Molecule: long non-coding RNA, 1073 nt
Filed under: Ficedula albicollis (Collared flycatcher)
Lineage: Eukaryota; Metazoa; Chordata; Aves; Passeriformes; Muscicapidae
Description: lncRNA (ENSFALG00000025325.1)
Source: RNAcentral
CCCCCCCCCCCCCCCCCCCCCCCCCCCCCCCCCCCCCCCCCCCCCCCCCCCCCCCCCCCCCCCCCCCCCCCCCCCCCCCCCCCCCCCCCCCCCCCCCCCCCCCCCCCCCCCCAAAAUCGGGCAAAAAGCGGCAAAAAGGGACAAAAUCGGGCAAAAAGCGGCAAAAUCGGGCAAAAAAGGGACGAAAAGGAUAAACCGGGACCACCUGGACCGGGAAGGGACAAACCAGGACCACCCGAGACAAACCGGGACAAGCAGGAAGGACCGGGACUACCCAGAGACCACCCGGGACAAACCGGGACCACCCGGGACAAAGCGGAACCGGUUUUUCCCGUUCCAUCCCGUUCCCUCCCGCUCUCUCCCGGUCUCUUUCUCCCAUUCCAUCCCGUUCCAUCCCACUCUGUCCCGCUCCCUCCCAGUUUAUCCCGGUCUCUCCCGGUUUAUCCCGGUCUCUCCCGGUUUAUCCCUGUCUCUCCCGGUCUCUCCCGUUCCGUCCCGCUCUCUGUCGGUCUCUUUCUCCCGUUCCAUCCCGUUCCAUCCCGUUCCGUCCCGUUCCAUCCCGUUCCAUCCCGUUCCGUCCCGUUCCAUCCCGUUCCAUCCCGUUCCGUCCCGCUCUCUGUCGGUCUUUUUCUCCCGUUCCAUCCCGUUCCGUCCCGUUCCGUCCCGUUCCAUCCCGUUCCAUCCCGUUCCGUCCCGCUCUCUCCCGGUCUCUUUCUCCCGUCCCGUCCCGUCCCGUUCCGUCCCGUUCCCAGUUGGUCCCGCUCCCUCCCAGUUGGUCCCGCUCCGCUCCGGCCCGGGAUGCCGCGCCCCGCGCCGCUCUGCCCCGCGCUGCUGCUGGCCGCGCUGUGCCCCGCGCUCGCCCUGCACUCGUGCCGCACGCUGGACCUGGAGGCGGCGCGGCUGAAGCGCAUCGAGGCCGUGCGGGGGCAGAUCCUGAGCAAGCUGCGGCUGGGGGCGGCCCCCCCCCCCCCCCCCCCCCCCCCCCCCCCCCCCCCCCCCCCCCCCCCCCCCCCCCCCCCCCCCCCCCCCCCCCCCCCCCCCCCCCCCCCCCCCCCCCCCCCCCCCCCCCCCCC